CAUUGAUUCACGCCAAACUUCCAAUACUACGAUUUUUAUUUGCUGUCUUGACCUUUUCUUUGAUGACUCCAGUCGGUGUUCUUAUUGGAGCUUUAGCAACGUCACUGGAUAGCAAACACUUGCUUACAGGCAUAUUCACAAGUAUUUCAGCUGCAACGUUUUUGUAUAUUUCUGUGAAUGGAAUGAUUGCACGAGCUUUUAUGAGGCAACAAGACUAUAUUGCAAAAGUGGCAUUUGGCUUGCUGGGUGUUAUAAUAGUUCUCAUAUCAGAGGUAGUUCAUCACUGAUACAUUUUGAUAAAUUUUUGGCGAUCGAUAAACUUAAAGGUCUUUUUUGGAAGGAAAAUUAUUAUCAGGUUACAACUCAAACUUUUUGAUACUUUACUGAAGAAA
This is a long non-coding RNA of Danaus plexippus (monarch butterfly), 392 nucleotides long. RefSeq lists it as uncharacterized. The transcript has 4 exons. Lineage: Eukaryota; Metazoa; Arthropoda; Insecta; Lepidoptera; Nymphalidae. The record is from RefSeq and is a predicted model, not a curated record.